GGAGGGGGCAAGCGUUGUUCGGAAUUACUGGGGCGUAAAGGGCGCGUAGGCGGAGUUAUCAAGUCAGAGGUGAAAGCCCUGGGGCUCAACCUGGGAAUUGCCUUUGAAACUGAUAGUCUAGAGUCCCGAGAGAGGAUGGCGGAAUUCCCAGUGUAGAGGUGAAAUUCGUAGAUAUUGGGAAGAACACCAGUGGCGAAGGCGGCCAUCUGGCUCGGUACUGACGCUGAGGCGCGAAAGCGUGGGGAGCAAACAGGAUUAGAUACCCUGGUAGUCCGCGCCGUAAACGAUGUGUGCUAGCCGUUGGGAAACCUAGUUUCUCAGUGGCGCAGCUAACGCAUUAAGCACACCGCCUGGGGAGUACGGUCGCAAAGAUUA
RNAcentral lists this ribosomal RNA (375 nucleotides) under uncultured organism. RNAcentral's name for it is "partial 16S ribosomal RNA". It matches the Rfam family "Bacterial small subunit ribosomal RNA", at positions 527 to 896 of the family's 1533-position model. The record is from RNAcentral.